This 237-nucleotide ribosomal RNA is filed under the name uncultured bacterium. RNAcentral's name for it is "partial 16S ribosomal RNA". It matches the Rfam family "Bacterial small subunit ribosomal RNA", at positions 118 to 353 of the family's 1533-position model. The record is from RNAcentral.
UGAGCAAUCUGCCCUUCUCAUCGGAAUAAGCGUUGGAAACGACGUCUAAUGCCGAAUACGACCUCCUUUCACAUGAUCGGAGGUGGAAAGCUCCGGCGGAGAAGGAUGAGCUCGCGGCCUAUCAGCUAGUUGGUGUGGGUAACGCCCACCAAGGCGACGACGGGUAGCCGGCCUGAGAGGGUGACCCGGCCACACUGGGACUGAGACACGGCCCAGACCUCCGUACGGGAGGNAGCG